CGGUUGUAAGCUCUUUGUUCCGGAGCGAACGGACUAGCGUGAAUAGCGCUGACUACUGACGGUACCGGAAGAAUAAGCACCGGCUAACUACGUGC
RNAcentral lists this ribosomal RNA (95 nucleotides) under uncultured bacterium. Its description in RNAcentral is "partial 16S ribosomal RNA". The record is from RNAcentral.